AGUGAACGCUGGCGGUAGGCCUAACACAUGCAAGUCGAACGGCAGCACAGUAAGAGCUUGCUCUUACGGGUGGCGAGUGGCGGACGGGUGAGGAAUACAUCGGAAUCUACUUUUUCGUGGGGGAUAACGUAGGGAAACUUACGCUAAUACCGCAUACGACCUACGGGUGAAAGCAGGGGAUCCUCGGACCUUGCGCGAUUGAAUGAGCCGAUGUCGGAUUAGCUAGUUGGCGGGGUAAAGGCCCACCAAGGCGACGAUCCGUAGCUGGUCUGAGAGGAUGAUCAGCCACACUGGAACUGAGACACGGUCCAGACUCCUACGGGAGGCAGCAGUGGGGAAUAUUGGACAAUGGGAGCAAGCCUGAUCCAGCCAUACCGCGUGGGUGAAGAAGGCCUUCGGGUUGUAAAGCCCUUUUGUUGGGAAAGAAAAGCAGCAGGUUAAUACCCCGCUGUUCUGACGGUACCCAAAGAAUAAGCACCGGCUAACUUCGUG
RNAcentral lists this ribosomal RNA (492 nucleotides) under uncultured bacterium. RNAcentral describes it as "partial 16S ribosomal RNA". It matches the Rfam family "Bacterial small subunit ribosomal RNA", at positions 29 to 507 of the family's 1533-position model. The record is from RNAcentral.